CCUACGUGUGGCAGCAGUGGGGAAUAUUGGACAAUGGGCGAAAGCCUGAUCCAGCCAUGCCGCGUGUGUGAAGAAGGCCUUCGGGUUGUAAAGCACUUUCAGUGGGGAAGAAAGCCUUGGGGCUAAUACCCUCGAGGAAGGACAUCACCCACAGAAGAAGCACCGGCUAACUCCGUGCCAGCAGCCGCGGUAAUACGGAGGGUGCGAGCGUUAAUCGGAAUUACUGGGCGUAAAGCGCGCGUAGGCGGUCUGAUAAGCCGGUUGUGAAAGCCCCGGGCUCAACCUGGGAACGGCAUCCGGAACUGUCAGGCUAGAGUGAAGGAGAGGAAGGUAGAAUUCCCGGUGUAGCGGUGAAAUGCGUAGAGAUCGGGAGGAAUACCAGUGGCGAAGGCGGCCUUCUGGACUGACACUGACGCUGAGGUGCGAAAGCGUGGGUAGCAAACAGGAUUAGAUACCCUGGUAGUC
Molecule: ribosomal RNA, 465 nt
Filed under: Vreelandella stevensii
Lineage: Bacteria; Pseudomonadati; Pseudomonadota; Gammaproteobacteria; Oceanospirillales; Halomonadaceae
Description: partial 16S ribosomal RNA
Rfam family: Bacterial small subunit ribosomal RNA
Source: RNAcentral